UAAAUCUACCUUUUGGAUGGGGAAGUAACAGUCGGAAACGGCUGCUAAUACCGCAUAAUGCAGCGGCACCUAAUGGUGACAGUUGUUAAAGCGGGGGAUCGAAAGACCUCGCGUCUGAAGAGGAGCCUGCGGCGGAUUAGCUAGUUGGUAAGGUAAUGGCUUACCAAGGCUACGAUCCGUAACCGGCCUGAGAGGGCGGUCGGUCACACUGACACUGACAUACGGGUCAG
RNAcentral lists this ribosomal RNA (230 nucleotides) under uncultured bacterium. RNAcentral's name for it is "partial 16S ribosomal RNA". It matches the Rfam family "Bacterial small subunit ribosomal RNA", at positions 121 to 334 of the family's 1533-position model. The record is from RNAcentral.